RNAcentral lists this ribosomal RNA (419 nucleotides) under denitrifying bacterium W113a. RNAcentral describes it as "bacterial SSU rRNA". It matches the Rfam family "Bacterial small subunit ribosomal RNA", at positions 60 to 494 of the family's 1533-position model. Lineage: Bacteria; Bacillati; Actinomycetota; Actinomycetes. The record is from RNAcentral.
UGUCGAACGAUGAAGCCAGCUUGACGGGGGAUUAGUGGCGAACGGGUGAGUAACACGUGAGUAACCUGCCCUUAACUCUGGGAUAAGCCUGGGAAACUGGGUCUAAUACCGGAUAUGACUCCUCAUCGCAUGGUGGGGGGUGGAAAGCUUUUGUGGUUUUGGAUGGACUCGCGGCCUAUCAGCUUGUUGGUGAGGUAAUGGCUCACCAAGGCGACGACGGGUAGCCGGCCUGAGAGGGUGACCGGCCACACUGGGACUGAGACACGGCCCAGACUCCUACGGGAGGCAGCAGUGGGGAAUAUUGCACAAUGGGCGGAAGCCUGAUGCAGCGACGCCGCGUGAGGGAUGACGGCCUUCGGGUUGUAAACCUCUUUCAGUAGGGAAGAAGCGAAAGUGACGGUACCUGCAGAAGAAGCGCC